GAUGAACGCUGGCGGCGUGCCUAAUACAUGCAAGUCGAGCGAACGGACGAGAAGCUUGCUUCUCUGAUGUUAGCGGCGGACGGGUGAGUAACACGUGGAUAACCUACCUAUAAGACUGGGAUAACUUCGGGAAACCGGAGCUAAUACCGGAUAAUAUUUUGAACCGCAUGGUUCAAAAGUGAAAGACGGUCUUGCUGUCACUUAUAGAUGGAUCCGCGCUGCAUGAGCUAGUUGGUAAGGUAACGGCUUACCAAGGCAACGAUGCAUAGCCGACCUGAGAGGGUGAUCGGCCACACUGGAACUGAGACACGGUCCAGACUCCUAAGGGAGGCAGCAGUAGGGAAUCUUCCGCAAUGGGCGAAAGCCUGACGGAGCAACGCCGCGUGAGUGAUGAAGGUCUUCGGAUCGUAAAACUCUGUUAUUAGGGAAGAACAUAUGUGUAAGUAACUGUGCACAUCUUGACGGUACCUAAUCAGAAAGCCACGGCUAACUACGUG
RNAcentral lists this ribosomal RNA (497 nucleotides) under uncultured bacterium. RNAcentral's name for it is "partial 16S ribosomal RNA". It matches the Rfam family "Bacterial small subunit ribosomal RNA", at positions 28 to 507 of the family's 1533-position model. The record is from RNAcentral.